AGCAGAACGCAACAAGUUUGAGAUGAAUCUGAUGCUUCUGCAACAAUGAAGGUUCAACUAAAAGUAUCAAAUGUUGCCACUUUUCUGACCUACACGUUUA
Molecule: long non-coding RNA, 100 nt
Organism: Ornithodoros turicata
Lineage: Eukaryota; Metazoa; Arthropoda; Arachnida; Ixodida; Argasidae
Exons: 3
Source: RefSeq, a predicted model, not a curated record